GGGAAUGUGGCUUAGUGGUAGAGUCCUUGCCUAGCAUGCAUGAAGCCCUGGGUUCGAUUCCUCAGUACCA
This is a non-coding RNA of Dipodomys ordii (Ord's kangaroo rat), 70 nucleotides long. Lineage: Eukaryota; Metazoa; Chordata; Mammalia; Rodentia; Heteromyidae. The record is from Rfam.